CAGAAUCAUAUGCCAUCCGCUGAAAAACGAUUUGCCAUUGUCUGCCUUGGAACUCAUAGACGACCUGUCACCAAGAAUGCGGCAAAGUUUGCCCAUGUCAAGAUUCAAUGCCUCCCGGGCGGCGAGGUACGGAGUAAGACGAGAGGUCCCGAAGUCGCGCAAUGUCGACUCUAGGACAUGGUGAUGAAUAUGGCUAAGUACGAACCCCUGUUCGAAACUGAGCCCUCCACACUGGCAUUGGCGAACCAGACCUCCAACAACCAGCCGCACUUACUUCAGGUUGCCCCGACAAUACGUGAUCCCCCCGGCUACCACGACCACACAAUCAACAUCGUUCAGAGUGACCUUGACGAACUGAGGCAAGGUCAAACGAUCCGCGGCCUCCUCACUUCGGUGGACAACGGGCACCAGCACAGUGUUGACGUCUCCAUGGAUUCCCGUGGUAACUUCGUGAUGACGUCAUGCGACGGGACGGCCCAAUGUUGGGACGGCCAUAGCACCCAGAUGACCUUAGUGUACUAAACCGCUCGGAGACAUUAUUAGAAUAAACACAAUAUUCACAAAGAUCCUUAUGUUGUUCUUGAAUUAAAUUCUAAGAUCAGA
Dreissena polymorpha is the source of this 603-nucleotide long non-coding RNA. RefSeq lists it as uncharacterized. NCBI's taxonomy places the organism in Eukaryota, Metazoa, Mollusca, Bivalvia, Myida, Dreissenidae. The transcript has 4 exons. The record is from RefSeq and is a predicted model, not a curated record.